This 972-nucleotide ribosomal RNA is filed under the name Triticum aestivum (bread wheat). Its description in RNAcentral is "partial small subunit ribosomal RNA". The record is from RNAcentral. Lineage: Eukaryota; Viridiplantae; Streptophyta; Magnoliopsida; Poales; Poaceae.
AUGUGUUUGCCGCACCUCACCAAACUAGCGAGCCCAUGUUCCACCUCGCCGCCGGACCACGUCUUGCCGGAGCUCCCAUCGUUCGGUCUCCAUCGGCUGCCAUCAUACCCGGAUGGCGUCCACGCCAUGCGGAGGCUCACGUGGAGAGCACGAUUGGGGAGAGGAGGCAAUGGUGGCGUGCAUAUGGGCGUCAUAGCGAGGCAGACCUCAAGCCGCGGCUUCUCGGCUCAAGCUCGCUCCCGACUAGCAGGCCAUCGGCCCCCUGUCGUCGCAUGUCGGCUGGGCGUACGUCGAUCCGAGCAGCUUGGCAGGCGUGCAUUGCCGCGUGUUGUGCGCUUGACAUGGCGAUUGCGUUCGCAGGACGUUGGUGGUCGCGUGCACCAACAUGAUCAUGGCGUCCACGGCGACGCUGGUGGUCCCGUAGUGCAUGGGGCGUCAGAGUCCAUGGGCGCCUGCACCAAUAUCACGAUGGCGUCCACGGCGAGGUGGUCCCGUAGUGCGUGGGGCGGCAGAGUCCAUGGGCGCCAACGCCGCGGAGUGCGCGGAAGACAUGGACAUGUGCCCAUCGCGGGGGUCAUUCCCUUGGAAUUCAGGUUGCUGUUAUUAGUCGUCUGUGUCAUGAUCGGGGUGGUACUAAUGGACGGGUUCGUCGUGCGGCUCUGCGGUGUUCUGUUGCUGCCCAUGAUUCUUCAGGUGCUCUUUUGUCGCGGGCGGGUCCGCCUGUGGGCCGUCGGAGCGUUGUCCGCUCGAUCAAUUCUUCUGUUGUUGAUGCAUAUGUCACUUUGUGCCGCCGUCGGUGGAACCGCGCUAAGCGAUCCGGUGCGGAUCAAGAAGCACUUCUGGUGCAAGCAUGGUAGUCAGCGGCAGUGGAUGUGCGCCUGCUGCGCCAAGGACUACACCGUCCGGUUCGGUUACAAGGCACACCUCAAGAACUGCCGCACCCCGCGGUCACUCCUCGGACUGUGGAUGUAA